Molecule: non-coding RNA, 1553 nt
Organism: Labrus bergylta (ballan wrasse)
Lineage: Eukaryota; Metazoa; Chordata; Actinopteri; Labriformes; Labridae
Source: RefSeq, a predicted model, not a curated record
GUCCAUUCAGCAUCAGCCACAGUGUGCGGAGGGAAGGUCUUUGUGUUCGGAGGUGUGAACGAGGCCGGGCGCUCGGCGAGGGUCCUACAUACCACAGAGCAACACAUGGAGCUUCAUUGAAUCACUUAGAGAGAUAACAGAUACGCCCCUGCAGUGAGUCUGAAUGGGUUAAUAUUCAUCCUGGGAGGAGCCUACGCUUGAGCCACCACCAUCUAUGAUCCAGACAAAGGAAACAUCAAGGCCAGACCCAACAUGAACCACUCUCGGCAAUUCUGCAGUGAUCUUAGAAGGGAAGAUCUACGCCACAGGAGGCAUCGUGAGCAGCGAAGUCCCGCACUCAGCAACUUGGAGACCUUCGACCCCUCACACGCAUGUGGACGCACCUGCAGCCCCUACCCUGCCCGCUGUUCAGACACGGCUGUGCGGUCAUCAAGAAGUACAUCCAGAGCAGCUGAGGUCGACUUGGACCCGAUUAGUCUGGGAUCGAUGCCCAACACCAACUGACCUCUGGUUGAAGGACGAUGUGUGACAGCAGUUUAGGGCUGGUGUUGGUCGAUCUUCAGUCCAACCCACCUCUUCUCCCAAACUACAGAAAAGCCCUGUGCAGAAUGUACUCAUACUCAAUUACUCAGCCAUGUCAGGUGACGAUGCCUAACCUUCAGUAUUGUGUGUGCCAUGGUCGUUUUUCAUCCUCCAUCCAACAGGCACAGGGACCCUCUUGGUAAACUCCUUUUUUUUUAAUGAAGUCAUCAUUGUUUCAGUUAUUUUUUUGUAAACUCAUCCCCUCCAUAUUUCUAUACUUUGAUGAAGCUCAGUAAAAGCCAAUGCAGGGUGACAUUUCUGUAAUAAUGUUUGACAGGGGAAGGUUUUAAAGUCUCAUCAAACAGAGCAAAGAUUCUUUUGGUGUAAGAAGUGUUUUCAGUAGUCGAAUUAAGUGAAGGAAUUGACUGUUUUUCUCUUGUCAGUGAAGAUAAAAGUCUCUUUGGGGAGUUAUAUUCACACUGUGAGUGUGGAUUUUAAGAGGUAAUUUUUAUAAAACACAUGUAUGUGUUUACAUAUGUUUACACAUUUAUGUAAACUAGUUCUUUUGAACUUGGUUGACUUGCUUAACACAGGAGAGGCCAUGAAAUGUUGGACAGGUGAGAUCUUUAUUCUUUGUUUAAUUCCAGCCUGAUGGUGACAUCAUCUGGUGAUCUGUUUUUGCUUCAUUUCAUUCAUACUCUGUUUCUCUUAGGGACAACUAUACAAUUAUACUGAGAGAGAAAUAAAUUCAUCAAGUUCAACCCUGCUACAUGUGCUCCAGAGGGAAAGAAAAGCACAAUAACCACAUGCGUCUGUUGGCAUACAAGUUAUCUGUUGAACCAUGUUUUAUUUAUUUCAUUGGUUUUCCUGAACCAUUCUUUGUACGAAGUGUUUGAUUUAUACUCACGAAAGAAGAUUGGUUUGUAUUCUGUAAAUACAGAAAGGAAUGUAUAUUUUUUCAAACCUGAAGCUCUGUGUAAAUGUUUCUAGAAAAAAAGUUGAUUUUGAAAUGUUAUGACUGUAACUCUGUA